GUUCUACGCCUUUGUCUUCUUCAUCAUAGGAAAUCACGAUUCGGGGACUUUUAUUAUUAUUAUUAUUGUUGUGGGUGUUCAAAUGAGAGUAUAAUAGAAUAGAAAGGAAAGGAAAUUUCAGGACUAAAGUACAACAAUUCUGACUCUUUUUGAACAAAUUUGGUGGCCCUGAAAAGAGCCGUUUAUUGAUCUGUUUGUGAUCUGGUAAAAUUCUGCUUGCAACAAGCAACACGACGGGUGCCAUUGUGGAGCAGGAUAUGCUUACCAUUCCGGAGCACCUGAGAUCACCCCUAGUUUUUGGUGUUGCUUUCUUAAAACCCAAGUCUCUUACGGACGUCAUCAUAAUCUUGAGACCACAACAAAGUCUGGAACUAUGUAAUGCUCUUCCCGUGGGAUGUGGCCCUUGAAGAUCUUAUUAGGGAUGCUGCCUGUAGCUUGUCCUUUCAUCAAAAUGCACACUGGCACGACUUUGUACAUAUGGUCAAUGUAGGUGACACAUGGUAGUUUGGUCAUGUAAGUGCUUCAGAAGAGACGGAGGUUGUUACAUAUAGUU
RNAcentral lists this long non-coding RNA (553 nucleotides) under Mytilus galloprovincialis (Mediterranean mussel). Lineage: Eukaryota; Metazoa; Mollusca; Bivalvia; Mytilida; Mytilidae. The record is from RNAcentral.